Mirounga angustirostris (Northern elephant seal) is the source of this 914-nucleotide long non-coding RNA. RefSeq lists it as uncharacterized. The transcript has 3 exons. The record is from RefSeq and is a predicted model, not a curated record. Lineage: Eukaryota; Metazoa; Chordata; Mammalia; Carnivora; Phocidae.
CAUAACAUAUGCAAAUAUCAGCUAAUGGAAAGGCUAAGCUUCAACAAUGACCCAAUGAUACAGUGGUUUACAGGACAUAGACUUUUAUUUAUCGUUUAAGUCCUGAGCCAGGGGUGCGGGUUAGUAUAGCAGUUCCAGGAGAUCAUUCAAAGACCAUGUACCUCAUAUCUUACUGCUCCACUAUCCUGGAAGGAGUUGUUCUCCCAAGAUGGGUCCUAGGCAGGUUGCAUUCUAGCUGAUAGGGAGAGGAAGAGAGAGUAUAUGAGCCCAGGCCUCAGAUGUAGAAGUCAUGCAAAUCCCUUUAUUCCAUUUCUUCCAUCUUCUUCCAUUCCCUUUCUUCCAUAUAGGAGAUCCCAAAUUUCCUAUAUUCCAUUGGUGAGGACAGUUGCAGAGACACACUUGGAUACAAUAUAGUUUAUCUGGGACCUCGGGGCUCCCACCACAGAUCUCUUCCUGUGGCAGAGGAAAAGGAUUUGGUAGAUGACCACCAAUAUCAGUGACAGCUCCAAUUUGAACAAAAUGUAUCAAAAAGUAACAGUUCUCUUAAUGAAAUUAAACAACCAUUGCUAUAAUUGUUUUCCAGAGAUUCAGCAGAACUGUGAGGAUGCCAAAUGUAUGAACAUGUGUGAACAGUGAUUUCAAGUGGCAACGUAGAAGGAAUUCAGCUGGAUAGGGAUCAAACCAUUCUGAACACCUACAAACUCAACGGAGAUCGAAGAAAAGAAGAGCAGCAACUCUCUGAACAGAAAAGUGACCACCUUCUGGAAGGUCUUUUCUGAUUUGUUUAGAGUAUAUUUUCUGGGGACGUUGUUACCCUGCUAGCAUUUUGUUCUCUCAUUAAUCUAUUCUCCUCUGCACAAAAUGACAAGACAGAAAAAAUCACCUCAACAAAAAGAACAAGAGGUAGUACCGAC